CUGCCUAAAGAGGGCACGAAGAGUGCUGCUUCGGCUCUUACGAAUACUGUUGACUCACUAUAGAGGGAUUUUCGUUCGGGCAGCCACGAGCACCGACACGGAGGACACAGACGUCAUUGACCACACAGCACAACAACAGCCACAGUCACAGACAUUUGUUUACAUUUUUCCUCGAAGAUGAACUGAUAUUUUUUUUUUUUUAAUUUUCCAGACUUACCUCAUUUUUACCUUUAAUUAUAUUAAUUAUAAUUAACUUUUUUUCUUCGAACGUGGCCUCGUUUAAAAUUUUAAAAACGGAUAGAAGGAUUGAGAGGAAAGUUUCCUGGAGCCCGUGUCACCCGUGUGCCUGGACACAUCUUAACACCCACCGCAUAUUGACACAAAAUCCAAAGAUAAGCUUGAUUUGAUACAUCAAAAUUUCUUGCUGGCUGGACUAUUCAGGUUUCUUGAUGAAGAAAAAAGUUGAGCUUCCGAUAGAAGUGCAGGAGCUCAUUUUCCUUCAACUCAAUGACUCGAAUGCGCUCCUUCGAUGCAGACGCGUUUGCAAAUCAUGGAAAGACACAAUUGACCGAUUAUUGGCUAUUCAAAACUGCGGAUUGAAACUAAACGGGUUCUUUGUGAAAACCUGCUGCGCAAUCAAUUUUUUAAACCAGCACCACCGAAAUACUACAACCCCUUGGAAAUGAUCAGAAGAGGAAAUGUGAAGGAAAAUUAUCCAGUCUUGCAUUGGGAAACAGGAGGAUAUUUCAAAGCAGAGAAGCUCCAUGAUGAGGGAAUUCCCAAAUUUGAACUGUGCCGAUUUGGUUUUAAGUUGAAAAAGGAAUUGACUGUGAUUGCUUCCUGGGGCUCGGGUUCCAUUCACUCGCAGCAAAUUAAUCUCGAAGAACUGAAAAUCAGUGGAGAUUUCAUGGACCAAAUCCAGCCUGUCAUCAUUUUCGAAUUAUGGGUCGGAACCUCUUCAGUAUUCGGAAGUUGUACGUCUUUACAUGCAAAUCUCCGGAAUAAAAAAUACAGCACACCGAUUUUGUCAAAAUACAUUUUAAUUAAAACACCUAGUCAAGGUACAGGUGCCUGGAGAAAGGUAAUUUUUACAAUGAAAAACUACGGCCCAGGAGUGAGAUGGAUUAGCUUUUCACGCUGUGGACAAGAAAGCGGUGAAAUCAGAGAUCCGGAAGAAAGCAAUAUGUACAGUGGCACAAAGUUUCCCUUAAAUAAGCUUUAUUUGGAUUUGCUCCAGUAUUUUUAAUUUUAAAAAACAUCAGACUGAUUUCCGAAUUUCAUAACAGCUUAAAAAUAGCUUAAAAAUAUUUAUUAUAAAUUUUAGCUUUUGUAAAAGCUGAAAAAUAUUUUAAUUGAUUUUAAUAUACGUUUUUGUUUUCAAAUUCACUGAAAAUGAUUAAUUAAUUUGACUUAUCUUUUAUAUUAUUGCGCUGAAUAAUAUAAUUCUGUAUAUAAUUGUUUUAUUAGAAUACUUCAUGUUAUUAAAACUGAAUAUUCAUAAGUUUCACAUCCUUUGAGAGUGUAUUGAGGUCCCAUUAAAUUAAAAUCAAAGACAAAAGUGAUACCAGCAGUCUCCAGAUUUAGGAAGUUAUUUCUUGGUUGAAUUCAAGCAGACCAAAUUCAGAUCCACUACACUGCCAAUAAUUUUUUUAGAUUCUAACCGUGGAAGAUGCAAAAUUAGCUGUCAAGUGCAAAAGAGCAGGAUUAAUAGUUUAUAGUUACAAAGAAAUCUUGUUUGAUACAAUUCAAUAUUGGUAGAGUGAC
Neocloeon triangulifer is the source of this 1764-nucleotide RNA transcript. It is a transcript of the gene named F-box only protein 6-like, with no coding region annotated. Lineage: Eukaryota; Metazoa; Arthropoda; Insecta; Ephemeroptera; Baetidae. The record is from RefSeq and is a predicted model, not a curated record. The transcript is spliced from 7 exons.